AUGGUGGCAGUCACGUGGCCCGGUUCCCCCUCUCCAAUCUAAGCCAGUGGGGGUUCUGUUGUUUUUUUUUAAUGCCAGCGAGAGCCUGAAACAGCACCUUCCCAGCUGCUCCUUUUCCAUCAGAGCGCAGCUGACCGAGGCAGCGAGCACACUCGGCGCCGCUAUAAAUCUAAAUCACAUCGUACCGCACGGCGCAUUCGCACAAGGAGCAGGAAAGUUAAUGACAACACAAACGCCGCGGUUUGGUUUUAGGGCUGUAAGUCAACGCCACGUGCAAAUAAGGAACAAUAUUUCAAGCUUAACUUUUUGGUGUGUGUUACAGCACGAGGCUAUCAUGGCAGAACGUGAGUAAAUAUAGCACCGUUACACUUUCAAUUUUAACUGCGCUUGUGGCACGGUUAAGUAACAAACUCCUUGCCUUUAAAAAGCCACAACUUUCACACUGGCCCUAUGAGUGCAACGCAGCCAAAGCGAGCCCGCGCAGUCCCUUUUAAUCAGUAAAAAUUACAGCAAACAAAGCAACCCUAUGCACAGCAAAGAUCUCUCACUCAAUAAAAACAGCAGAAACGCACAAAAUGACAGGAGGCAAAGUUCCUUUUUCAGUUUUACUGGGCAGUGAAAACCAGGGACGGGUGUCGCAUUGCCGUUUGGUACCGAUUUGUCUUAAACAGCACACAGAAACUCUGCCCAUUACUGGCCGGCCUCCAGUGGGAAAGUUAGCAGUACUACCACGGGCGUGAUCGCAGGCACGGAAUACAGUUACACUGUGAGAGCCAAGAGACCUCAGAAGCAGAACAGACGGACAGGAUACAUCCAACUGCAGAACAAACACCCUAAAUAUGCUCCACUGCAAUGCAGGAAAUUGGUGACUGGGGGAUCCUGACAGCCAAAGGGCACCCACCAUCGCAAUGGCUCGCACGUGCCGGGGAUGCACAGUUAGCUAAAAGCACAUCUACAAGAAGAGACAGCGUAGGAUCAGCUCAAUGCACAGACAUCUGUUCCUUAGGAGAACUCAGAGAAGUGCUGUCAACAAACUAUCGGUGGCAGGUAAACCGUUAUCCAGUCUCUUUCUGCUCUGAAGAAGACGACUCAUCAUACAUCCUCUGCUCCAAUGAGGGAGAGAAAGGAUAUACUGCAGAGAGGAAGUGCUCAGAUAAUUUUGGAAUGUGAAGAAAAUAAAGUUUUGGGGGGGGUAAAAGACAUGAAAGUGUUGACAACAAGUAUUUCACAUGAAAUCUGAAAUUAUUUGCUCGGUGCCUUGCUCUGUAAAUACAACACGAUGGAAAUUUGCCACUAUAAA
Long non-coding RNA from Tympanuchus pallidicinctus (lesser prairie-chicken), 1300 nucleotides. RefSeq lists it as uncharacterized. NCBI's taxonomy places the organism in Eukaryota, Metazoa, Chordata, Aves, Galliformes, Phasianidae. The transcript has 2 exons. The record is from RefSeq and is a predicted model, not a curated record.